AGCCUGAACGCUGGCGGCGUGGCUAAGACAUGCAAGUCGAACGGUGUAGCAAUACACAGUGGCGAACGGGUGAGUAAUGUAUCGCUAACGUACCCUUAUGUCAGGGAUAGCCGGGGGAAACUCCGGGUAAUACCUGAUGAAAUUCCUUUUUCGCAUGGAAAAGGACUCAAAGGAGCAAUCCGCAAAAGGAGCGGGCGAUAUCGUAUCAGCUAGUUGGUGAGGUAACGGCUCACCAAGGCGACGACGCGUAGCCGGGCUGAGAGGUCGGCCGGCCACAUUGGGACUGAGACACUGCCCAGACUCCUACGGGGGCUGCAGUAACGAAUCUUCCGCAAUGCACGCAAGUGUGACGGAGCGACGCCGCGUGUGGGACGAAGUCCUUCGGGAUGUAAACCACUGUCAGGGGUAGAAAGUUCUGAUCUACCCCAGAGGAAGGCACGGCUAACUCUGUGCCAGCAGCCGC
This 463-nucleotide ribosomal RNA is filed under the name uncultured bacterium. RNAcentral describes it as "SSU rRNA". It matches the Rfam family "Bacterial small subunit ribosomal RNA", at positions 26 to 518 of the family's 1533-position model. The record is from RNAcentral.